Molecule: long non-coding RNA, 347 nt
Filed under: Phoenix dactylifera (date palm)
Lineage: Eukaryota; Viridiplantae; Streptophyta; Magnoliopsida; Arecales; Arecaceae
Description: long non-coding RNA (PDAC_LNC012639)
Source: RNAcentral
ACUCCAUUCAGCAGCUUCUUCAAUUUGGCUUCAAAGCAUUUAAACCAUGUGAAACUUCUGUAUUGAAAAAGAGAUCGUUCAAAAGGAACAUUUUCCGUUUGCAGCAGGGAACGAUCUUUCACAACAUCUUCCACCUUUGUAUAUAUCACAUAUAAACAGAUCCCCCUUUUUUUUUCAAAUUGUAGGAGGAAUUAUGAACAUAAAUAAUUUGUACAUUAAAAACAAUUUCCUCCAUUACUUUUUCUCUUCUUUUUUUUUUUUUGAUUACAACAACCAUGGAACUCACGAAUUGAGAAUGAAAAUAUGUUCCAUUUCACCAGUCAUAGCCAUACCACAAAUCCAGACAC